CCUACGGGUGGCAGCAGUGGGGAAUAUUGCGCAAUGGGCGCAAGCCUGACCCAGCAACGCCGCGUGAAGGAAGAAGGCUUUCGGAUUGUAAACUUCUGUUCUCAGGGACGAAGGAAGUGACGGUAACUGAGGAAUAAGCCACGGCUAACUACGUGCCAGCAGCCGCGGUACUACGUAGGUGGCGAGCGUUAUCCGGAGUUAUUGGGCGUAAAGGGCGCGUAGGCGGGAGCGCAAGUCAGAUGUGAAGACCCCGGGCUCAACGCUGAGCCUGCAUUUGAAACUGUGAUUCUUGAGUGCUGGAGAGGCUAUUGGAAUUCCGGGUGUAGCGGUGAAAUGCGUAGAUAUACGGAGGAACAUCAGUGGCGAAGGCGAAUAGCUGGAAAGUAACUGACGCUGAGGCGCGAAAGCGUGGGGAGCAAACAGGAUUAGAUACCCGAGCAGUC
RNAcentral lists this ribosomal RNA (443 nucleotides) under uncultured bacterium. RNAcentral describes it as "partial 16S ribosomal RNA". It matches the Rfam family "Bacterial small subunit ribosomal RNA", at positions 338 to 795 of the family's 1533-position model. The record is from RNAcentral.